Molecule: long non-coding RNA, 7035 nt
Organism: Egretta garzetta (little egret)
Lineage: Eukaryota; Metazoa; Chordata; Aves; Pelecaniformes; Ardeidae
Exons: 3
Source: RefSeq, a predicted model, not a curated record
UCCUGAGGGCUCAGGGAAAGUGUCCCUGCAAACCCUUUGCGCGCCUCUGCCCAGGAGAAAAGUGCCAUCAGCGCGCUUACUUGGGACAGCCAGCCUGGCUCCAGAACACGUGGCAGUCGCAAGGCAGAGCAGCAACACGGCGCCUGGACCCCAGCAGCAGGCCUGCCUCAAGCUGUGCUCAUUUCUUGUUUCAGCGGAAUCUCUGUAGUUUUUGUUAGGAUUGGGGAAAGGGAAGUGUGAGGUGCGGACAGCUGGAAGGCUGGUUCCCACCCGCCCUGCCUGGGGCUGUGAAGGGCUCGCAUUCAUCUGUGGUCUUUGCAGUAACGGAUGGUUGCCCCUAACUCUGCACCCCUGCUUCUGCACUGAGGCUCUCGUUUUUUCAUCACUGGGGUAUGCAGGCUUUGGUGUUCACAGCCCUGGGUCUCUGCAGGCCAAAGCAGCUGAAAGAACCCUCGCUCCCAGUCUGCAUCCCGCACUUGGCAAUGGCUCGCUCUUCUGGGCGCUAACCUGAGGGGUUCUGUGACCUGCACUUGCGUGGGGAGUCAUCUUGGGGGGGCGAACUGUUUGCCUUACUUUGUGUUGGGAAAGGUGAUGCAGCCAAAACCAGGCUCUGUCUGGGGCUUGGGAGGGGGGUGGCGCUUGCGAUGGCAUUUGCUGCUGAGGGAUGAGCUGUGCUGGGUGCAGUUAUGCCUCCUGCGAGGAGCGUGCUUUUCGAAGAGGACAGGUAGCCAUGCCACUCACCUCCUUUCUCCCAAAUGGUCGUCUUGUUGCCAGAAGCCAGAACGUCUGAAUGCCUGGUGGGGCCUUUGUUGCCAGCCUGGCCCCUCAGGGGAGCAGCCUGUACCUGCCCUUGCUCUGGACCUUGCCAGGAGCAGAGGCUGCUGCCAGCUUCUGGCUGCUUGCCCAGUGAAAAGUAGCAGAAUUGACCAUGCGAUUUUUAAUGAAAAUCACAAGCAAGAGGCAGCCAAGCCCUGUAAUUGCACUAAUUGCAGCCAUCGUCAUGACCAUGCUAAGAGCCACUCUCCUGGUCUCAGCUUAGUGAUUCUUCUAACUCCAUGUUUCAGCACCUCCUCUGCCCCCCCGCACGAGGCAGACUCACCUGGCACAUGGACAUAAUUCACUGUGUAAAGGGAGCUAGAAGGUGUUAUGUCCCUGCUCCUGUGGAGCUGCUGCUUUCUUUCUAGACAUUGAAGGUCUUCAGUGGCGCAGCAGGGAGAAGGAGGUGGAGCUGGUGCCGGCUGUGAGAGAUGUGUCCUGCACAGCACUUUGCUUGCAGGCUUGCAUUCUCCCUCUGUGUCAGAAGAUGAGAUGGGUCAGCCUUGGCUCAACAGGAGUUCCUGGACUCGUGGGGAAGCAAAUGUUCAUCUGUCCUGAGCGUCUUGGGGGAGUGGCAAAGUGUGUGUUGGGAGGGGACUGUGUGGCUGAUGCAGACAGAUGGUAUUUUGCCUUAUCCUGCCCUGCAAGUUGGGAGCUAAGAGUCUGUUUCUCCUCCCGUGUCGAGUUGGAGAUCACAGGGUAAUUCAGGUGGGAAGGGACCUCGGUUCUCUACGCCAGCAGGGUCAAGUAUGAGAUCAGACCAGGUUGCUCAGGGCAGGUCUUGAAAACCUCCAAGGUGGGAGACUGCACAGCCUCUCUGGACCCCUGCUUCAAUGCUUGACUGUCAUCAUGAGGAGGAGGUUUUCCCUUAUCUAGUCUGAACAUGUCUUUAUAGUUAUGCCCAUUGUCUGUCAUCCUCCCACUGAGCACCACUGAUAAGAGCCUGGCUCUGUCUUGGCAGAUAACUUCCUUGUAGGUACUGACAGAUUGCUAUAAGGUCCCCCUGAAACCACGUCUUUUCCAAGCUGAACAAGCCUCCCUCCCUCCGCCUUUCCUUACAGGACAAGCGCUUCAAGCCCUGAGUACCUUGGUGGUUCUCUACUGAACUCCCACUAAUUUGUCCAUGUCUUUUCUGUAUUGGAGGCGGAACCUGCAUGCAGCAUUCCUUCAUGGGGACUAACAAGUACUGGUACAAAGGGAUAGUCACUUCCCUUGAUCUGGUGGCUGUGUUCCUCUAACGCAGCAUAGGAUGCUGCUAGCUGCCUUUACUGCCAGUGCACACAAUGUUCAAUGUGCUGUCUGCUGCUGUUCUUUUCAGAUGAAGAGUGGGAGAGCCAAGGGUGAUGCCCCAAUACAUGUUUCAGUCUACUGCCUUGGCAUGGACACUGCAGGGGUGUUUCCUCCAGAGGGAAGAACUGCAGCCCACUCGUGAACCUUCAGUGAUCCCAUCCAAGCCCCAGGUGCUGGAGAUUGGUAUCCACAGAGAGUCUCAGCUUUGUGGUGCCAGGUGAGACCAGUGGCUGCUUGUAGACCUGGGGUGCCUGGGAUUGUUCCUGCUGUGGUCCAGUCACGUGGGGACAUGAUGCAGAGAAGCUCCCUGUUCCUUGUGGGCGUCACGGAUGCCUCCUGCCACAGUACUGUCCGUAGCUUCUGCCUGCAGUUCCGUAGAUUUUCAAGGCCUGAAGCGACUGUUCAUUGAUCCAUGGCCCCUGUGUAAGUCCGGGAUGCUGAAUAAGUGCCUCAGCUGCUGGCAGAGCCACAGGCUUGGGAGAGCAACAGCCAGUGCCAGCCUCCCAGCUGGAACAACUACACAGUUUCCAAAUUGUGAGUUGCUCUUCUCCUGCUUGCCAAGAAGAUGGAGUUUCAUACCCACCUCUCCGUUAGACCUGGCAAGCUGGAGAAAUGCUUGAAUCCCACCUCCGAGACCCUUCCAUGUGUUCUGAGCAGGGGACACCUGCAAGUCUGCCAGCCACACAGCGUAUGGAUUUGCCAGGCUGAAAGGAAAGGCUUUUCUCUGCUCGCUGUGAGACAGCCUUGCUGCUGACGAGCCUGGAAGAACACGUUUAGGUCAUUCCAUCAACGUAAAGGUUAAAUGUUUAGCUGCAGCUAUUGAAAACAAAGCAACCACAGCAGCAACAACAGCAGCAAAAGAAUUGGAUGCCUUAUCAAUGUCUGGAUGUAAGAUCUGCAUCUAAGCACCUACCAGGCACAGCGCACUGAGGUCCUCACUGGACAGUGCCCUGUGUCGAGAGCUCUGUCUUCUCGGCACUUUUUUACCUGUGGGCAGCUGUGCAACAGCUCAGCCCCACUUCACCCUAGUUGACAGCUUUGCAAGAUGGAUUUUUGGACUCGAAUUUUUGCCUGGGGAUUUUGAAGAAGCGCCUGAUGUUUUUAAGCAUGUCCAUACGAUUUCUGCACUUUCUGCUGAUUAAGAGGGCCUCUUUAUGUUGUAGCCUUACUUUCAGCCACUCGGCCUCUGUGAGAAUGCCAGGGGCCUACUCUGAGUUAUCUGAGUAUAGGUCUUUUGUUGAGUAAGUAUGGAUCUGGAAGAGUCAUUUCUCUCUACCCUGCACAUCCGCUGUUUCAGUAAGUCAGUAGAUUUCUCAUACAUUAAACUUGUAUUGUUUUGCAAAAAACACUUCAUAUUUUAACAUCGUAAAGCAGGUUGUCUUUUGGCCAGCAAGGCUCACAGCCUUCAUGACUUCAUAACAGCUUGCAAUAUGCAUAUUAUUAAAAGAAAGAACUAAAACCUCAUCGUGAUACAAUAUGUUUAACAGUCCCAUAAUGCCUGAAUUCCCUCUUCCUGUCACAUUUGUGGGCAUGUCACAGCAACCAUCCUGCUGCCAGGCCAUUGUCUGGGCUCAGGCAGUCCUGAGCCUAGAUGGCAGUCCCAUGCCUAGAAUACCUGCAGCAUCCAAGGCAAACAGCAAGAGACACUUCUUUCAAGAUGUAGUCCUCCCCGCGCUCUGUCUCUCUAUGUGCCUUUCCUCAUCACUCCGCCUGAUGGCCCAGGGUUGGAGCUCUUCCAGGCUCUUGCUGGCAUGGUCUGCCUGUGAUGGGGCCGUUUGUGCGUCAGCAGUGCUCCAGGCACACCCUGCCAGACGAGGGGGCUGCAGGGGCCUUUGCUGGCUCAGGAAGGGUUAUUCGGUUUGCAGUCCUGUCUGCAGCAUCCAGAGAAGCUCCAGGUGCCCAGAGCCCCCUCCUCCAUGCCCAAGGCCAACUCUUUGCUCCAUGCAAGGAGACAACGGCUCCUGGCAGCACCUGUGGAGAGCUGUGGAGGGCUGUGCUGAACAGGUCUAGGUGCUAUGGCUGCCCUGCGCUGGCAGCCGCCACCUCCUUGGAGAUGGUGCCAGGUGCUGUCAGUGGUGCAGGCUAUUGGCAUUAGGUGCUGGUCUGUGCAAACUGCCCUCUAUACCAUCACCCUUUUUCUGUUGGUCUCUGGCAGUUGCUGCCCCUGUUAGGUGAGCAUAUGAUCCACUACAAUCCACAACCAGCUGGCCCCAGUGAAGAGAGCAGCACAGCAGACUGAUCCAUUGGGGGGACUUCAUCAAAAGGCUCGGUGGGGAGCAGCCAUGUGACUCUGCUGGCUCAUAAACUGAGCUCUGGCGUGAUGUCUCAGCCCCCCCAUGCUGCUGUGCAUCGGCCCGGCCACAGGGUGCAGCCAGAUGAGGUGGCUCUGGGGUGCAGGCACCCAGCGAGCACCCAGGUGCCGGCUGAGCUGUCACCUGAGUAGCAGCAGCAGAUGGAUGUGGAAAGCCUUUAAAUUCAGCACAUGAUCAAUACUAAACUGAUCUUCUGGAGUCUCUUAUAAGAUUACCCCAGCCUCAUGCAUCCAAUUGUAAAAAAAUCACUCAGCACACAAGGGAGAUGUGAGAAACACUGCAGGCCCCAUUUAGGAUGCACAGAGCCAGAGUAAGCGACUUCACAAUUGUUUCUUGCAGUAAAUAAUUCAUCCACUUUACAUUUGGGUUUAUUGCUACCCCCACGCCCCUGCCUCAGUUCCUUUCUGCCCGUUUCCCUCUCUUGUCCUGCAGUUCCGGUGCUGGGUAGUUCCUGUCAUUGUGAUUCCCUAACACACACAUGUGCGCGCUUGUACACACGCACACAGAGACAAAUCUGUCCCGGUCUGACUUUUACCAAUUGCCGUAUCAGGGAGAGCAGUGCUGGGGUAGAGACGAUGCUGUUUCACUGCGCAGCAUCAGCAGAACUGAGCUGGGCUCAGUCUGGGCCCUGGCCUGGCUUUGCCACCCUGGUGUCUGCCCCAGUGCUGCUUUCGCGUGCUGCCAACACGCAGAACUGUUUGGAAUCCAUUAACAAUGCUAACAGUAUCUCUGUACUAAUUAGUAAUGCCAUUUCCACCAACUCCCUCUCUAUGACACACGUUAUCAGCCAGGCGCAGAGUGGGGGCCGCAGCUGAUGCGCAGAGAACAGCAAUGGAGGGGCAGAAAGCUGCUCUGGCAUGGGCCGGGCUGUGGUGGGUACUCCUGGCCCUGGCGCCCACCCGGGAGCCCUGGGCUUCCCCAUGCAGUCAGAGCCAGGGGGGACGAGGCAGCAGCUGGAUGUGAGCUGGUAUGUGGGGCUUGCCGCAUCUGGACUAGGGUGCCUGGUGGGCUCUGCCCUGAUCACACACACGCUUACCAGUGUGGGCUCUGGUGGGCUCGCCGAACCAGAUGGCUCGUGUGGCGAUGCAGGUUGCUACAGCUGCUAAGAACAGGUGGAUGGGAGUUCCUGCCAUGGGAUGAAGCUUGUCUGGGCCUCUCAGCUGAGGCUGUUACAUGCAUCUCUGAAGCCCUUGGCAGCACUCUAGCUCCUGGGGCAUCCUGCUUCUGGGAAAAGACCAAGUGGGAUGUGUCUCUUUGAGUUGAAAAUUGUUGGAGUCUGGGAAAUUGUCAGGAAGAGCAUCACAGCUGCUUGCCCUGUCCCUGUUCUGCUCCAGGCAGUUGCUUCUGGCCACUCUGGAGACACAACAUGGGCUAGAAGGACUCUUGGGCCAGACUUUUGCCGGUCCCUGUGGAAACCAUUUUGAUUGUGUCUGGAGCCUUCCUGCAAGUGCACUCAUUUGCACAGGUGGGUGCUGCGAGGCUCUGAUCCCACCUCUGGUUCUGUCCCGCUCUGAUCGCUGUGAAGGGCAGGACAGUUGAGAUCAUGGUGGCUGUGGCCUGACCUGAACUGCAUCUUCAGGACUAGAUCCUCCUCUUAAGGUGCUACUCAGCCAUCUCCACUGGCUCUUUGGACACUCCUUCCAGCAAAGCAGCAGGUGACCUUUUGGAGAGAAAUGAACCCAGCAUCAACAUGGUAUUUUGCUCGCUGUCUCUUCAGGAUCUGUAAGUAUAGGCCGAAUUAAAGUUACUCUAAUCCUCUUGCUUUGAGAGGUGCCCGCAAGAUCCCACCAGCUGGGAGGCAGUGGCUGCUCCGGGUGUUCUGGCUCCAGGCCAUAAUCCCUGGAAGGCCUCAGGGGCAUUUCCCAAAGUGCCCCUCAGGGACACGGCUGGGCCCUGCGCUGCUGAGCGCCCCGGGCACGGGCUGCUGUGCCAGCUUUGACCACUGCUGCUCCUUGCACAGGAAUCCGUGAAUGUGGUGUCUCCGUGCGAGUCCGAGGCCCCCGAGUGUUAACGCUCCCAGCAGCUCCGGGUGGGCACCUGCACGUCAUGGGUGGUGUCCCCAGGCGUCACCUCUAAGCUGUGCCAGCAGACAGCAGCCUGUGGGCCUGGGGCUGCACACGGCUGCGUCGGGCUGAGCUGACAGGCCUGGCGUGAAAUAAGAUGAAUGGGCUGAAGUUGGUGAAAAUGAUUCUAAUUUAUAAUCUGCUGCUUUGUGGAGCUCCCCAAUUAAUUCUCUCUAGAUACAUAAGUAGGCCACAUGUUUGCUUUGCUUCAAAUGUAAUAAACAUUACACUCUGUCCCCUCGUUCGGUGCUGGUUCCUGUCAGAGCAUCCGUCCCAGAGCUAAUUCCUCACACCUGUCUCCCAGGCUCCUGGGACCUAGUCUGAGCACGGGGCGGAAACGCCAGGCUCCGGGAACCCUGUGGCAUGGGGAGAUAAAUUGCUGAUCAAAGGGCCAGCGCACGGUGCCGCUGAAUAUUUAGUCGCAGGCAAGGCAGCCCAGCCCGCUCAGGAAAGGGCUUUGCUUCGGAAGAACUGUUUGCCUGGCUCCGCUCUGCGGCAGCGAGCAGCUGGGGUGGGAUGGGGUGCUGGGAUCUGCGCACCCUCAGGCCACAAAG